GGGGCCGUCUUAGAUUCGACAGAUAUAUUUGAGCUUUAACUGCAAGUCGAAAGGUGAUUGCGUCAAAUCCCAAAUAAAAAUAACUGGAAACAGAAAUCAAUUAGCUUUCGCUUAGUAUAAUUAGGAAGCACUUCAUUAGAUAUUUUCCUGCGAUGUCUAUAUGAGGUUCAUUUAGUAGGAUAUAUUAUUAUGAUGUCUAUAAGUAAUAAUGAAUAAUAUAGGCUUACUGUUAAAUUGUUUGUUAAUUAACUUAUUUAACAGGAAAUUUAUUAAUUAACUAAACUUGUAGAUGUUAUUGUGUUAAUAUAUUUGGACAUGGGUGCGAUUCCCAUCGGCUCCACCA
RNAcentral lists this transfer-messenger RNA (343 nucleotides) under bacterium. It matches the Rfam family "transfer-messenger RNA". Rfam says of the family: Bacterial tmRNA, also known as 10Sa RNA or SsrA, is named for its dual tRNA and mRNA-like properties. The record is from RNAcentral.